This 343-nucleotide ribosomal RNA is filed under the name uncultured soil bacterium. RNAcentral's name for it is "bacterial SSU rRNA". It matches the Rfam family "Bacterial small subunit ribosomal RNA", at positions 26 to 371 of the family's 1533-position model. The record is from RNAcentral.
AGAUUGAACGCUGGCGGCAGGCCUAACACAUGCAAGUCGAGCGGUAGAGAGGUGCUUGCAUCUCUUGAGAGCGGCGGACGGGUGAGUAAUGCCUAGGAAUCUGCCUAGUGGUGGGGGAUAACGUUCGGAAACGGACGCUAAUACCGCAUACGUCCUACGGGAGAAAGCGGGGGACCUUCGGGCCUCGCGCCAUUAGAUGAGCCUAGGUCGGAUUAGCUAGUUGGUGAGGUAAUGGCUCACCAAGGCGACGAUCCGUAACUGGUCUGAGAGGAUGAUCAGUCACACUGGAACUGAGACACGGUCCAGACUCCUACGGGAGGCAGCAGUGGGGAAUAUUGGACAA